This 253-nucleotide ribosomal RNA is filed under the name uncultured prokaryote. RNAcentral describes it as "partial 16S ribosomal RNA". It matches the Rfam family "Bacterial small subunit ribosomal RNA", at positions 524 to 776 of the family's 1533-position model. The record is from RNAcentral.
UACGGAGGAUGCAAGCGUUAUCCGGAAUGAUUGGGCGUAAAGCGUCCGCAGGUGGUAUUUCAAGUCUGCUGUCAAAGAGUUUGGCUUAACCAAAUAAAGGCAGUGGAAACUGAAAAACUAGAGUGCGUUCGGGGUAGAGGGAAUUCCUGGUGUAGCGGUGAAAUGCGUAGAGAUCAGGAAGAACACCGGUGGCGAAGGCGGCAUCCUGGUCUGCGACUGACGCUGUGGCGCGAAAGCUAGGGGAGCGAACGGG